CGGGCCGGGGCCCGGCGGGCCUGGAGGCGGCGGCGGAGUCCCCCUGCCUCCGCGUGGAGCGCCCCUUCCCCGACACGGCCCGCCUCCUGGACGGGCGAGACGCCCCGGGACCACCCCUCCUUGCCCGGUGGUGGCCGGGCGCCCGAGCGCCCCAGGUAUCCGAGCUUACUGACCGGGACGCGUCAGGUGCAUGAAGGUUUUUGUAGACGGCGUCUGGGCAACCCUCCUGCUGUGCGACAGUGACACAAGGGCGCCCACUGACAGGUGUUCCCUUCACGCUGUACCUGCCGGGGAGCUUCCAGCCAGGUGGGGCGCGCGGCGCGGUCAGACGGCCCGGCCCGAGCCCCGCGUGCGCUUUCGUCCUCUGGCGAGUCCCCAGUUGACAGUUUUAAAGUUGUGUCCCCACGCCGUUUAACGUUACCUCUGUAGUUUAAAGCACCGUCUCUCUGCGGACAGGGAUGGACACAAGACAACCUUAUCCGAGUUCCUGGGCAGGUAGCAGCCACCCUGAGGCCUGUGGCCUUCGGAUGAUCUGUGUGAAGGGAUUUUGUUGUUGGCUUUGGGAUUCAAGUGGAGAGAGAUGAAGAAAAAUUGGGGGCUGAACAGCAGCAGCCCCAAAGAGUAUGUACACAUUCUUGAAUACAAGAAGUCAGCCCUCGAUCUCCCAGAGCAAAAAAAAGACAAAAAAAAAAA
This is a non-coding RNA of Microcebus murinus (gray mouse lemur), 693 nucleotides long. Lineage: Eukaryota; Metazoa; Chordata; Mammalia; Primates; Cheirogaleidae. The record is from RefSeq and is a predicted model, not a curated record.